GGGGUAGUCAUAUGCUUGUCUC
Molecule: unclassified non-coding RNA, 22 nt
Filed under: Dictyostelium discoideum
Lineage: Eukaryota; Evosea; Eumycetozoa; Dictyosteliales; Dictyosteliaceae
Source: RNAcentral